GGUUUUUUUCAGUCAAGCAUUGAUUCAGAGGCUUGUAAUGAAAUGGAUAGUGAGAGAAAGCGCGGAGCUUAUGCAGCUGUGAGCCUCCUCUCCGCCAUCUUAACCGGAAGUCCCAGAUUUGUUGUUAUUAAAAUAAUUUCCUUCAUCCUAUUUUCAUACCAAAUUCCUCUUAAUAUGGCAAGAAACAUAUAAUGUUUUGUUAUCACUCUGUUGUUAAUAUGGCCAAGUAUCCCUGAGUCUACUGUCAUGGGGAUACAAGGAUGGAAAAAACAAAACAACAAAACAAAAAAGUGUUUCAUAUAGUAGCCACUUAAUUACCAAGGAGAUAUCACUUAAUUUUGAACCUUCUUUUCAAGGAGUAUGGUUCAGUUAGAACAAAUUCAAACUAAGUUUAGCUAAAUAAGGGAUGAUUGUGGUAGGGGAUAUUUUUAACUCAUACUCUAGUAAGCAAGAGAAGCUGUUGACUAAGGCACUGAAGUAAGAAAGGUGAUCAUGGAAGGAGCCAAGAAGAUCUUCUCUAAAAUCUAAGAUGAGGGGUGGGAAAUCUUUGGAUAACAAGAUUGUUUGAAGCCUUAAUUAAAUAGAUUCACUAGGAGAUAAUUUUAGCAGUACUAGUUGUAGUAAUAAGCUCUAUAUUUCUCUUGCUAAAAAUUGUUUAGCAUGCUUUGUCAAGUAACUAACAUGAUUUGUAAUUUUUAACUUAGAGCAAAAGUCUAGUUCUUCUAUUUCUAAGGACGAUUGAGAUUAAACUAUGGGAGAGGAUUCUGAGAAGAUGAUGAAGUAAGACAGAAGUCUUCAAAUUCUCCAAAAUUUCCUCCACAAAAAAAAUGAAAGAAGACUUAUGAAUGAAAAUUGAAAAACUUUCAGUUAUUUGUGACAAAAAGGACAGAACUUAAUGGAAAUUUUAACAUAUACGAUCCAGAAGAAAUAUAAAAUACUUAAGAAGAUAGAAUACUUCAGUGGAAAGAAUAUCAACUUUCAAAUCAGAGGACCUGGUUUUGAAUCCUUGACACUGACCUGUAUUACCUUUUGGACACUGGGCAAGUUACUUAAUCUUUAAAGCAGAUUAUUGGAGGAGAAAGAAAAAACAAGACUUUCUGAGACUGUUCAUGCUCUCCUCAUGAAAAAGAUGGAAAAAUGAGGACCAGAUGAUGGACUUUAAUUUCCUCAACAAGAAAAUGGGAUUGGAGGGGAGCUGAGAAUAUUAAGAAAAAAUUAUUUCCAAAAUCCUAUCCAGUUAUAAAUCUCUCUAUCUCUAUAGUAGUUUAUCCUGGCGAUUGGACUAGGGGAAAAAAUAAAACAAACAAUAAUCAAAAUUA
Antechinus flavipes (yellow-footed antechinus) is the source of this 1319-nucleotide long non-coding RNA. RefSeq lists it as uncharacterized. The record is from RefSeq and is a predicted model, not a curated record. The transcript has 2 exons. NCBI's taxonomy places the organism in Eukaryota, Metazoa, Chordata, Mammalia, Dasyuromorphia, Dasyuridae.